GCCAGGAUGGCCGAGUGGUUAAGGCGCCAGACUUAAGAUCUGGUCUUCGUAGGAAGACGUGGGUUCAAUCCCCACUCCUGGCA
RNAcentral lists this transfer RNA (83 nucleotides) under Limulus polyphemus (Atlantic horseshoe crab). RNAcentral describes it as "tRNA-Leu". It matches the Rfam family "tRNA". Rfam says of the family: Transfer RNA (tRNA) molecules are approximately 80 nucleotides in length. Their secondary structure includes four short double-helical elements and three loops (D, anti-codon, and T loops). The record is from RNAcentral. Lineage: Eukaryota; Metazoa; Arthropoda; Merostomata; Xiphosura; Limulidae.